This 1021-nucleotide ribosomal RNA is filed under the name Mezira granulata. RNAcentral describes it as "bacterial SSU rRNA". It matches the Rfam family "Eukaryotic small subunit ribosomal RNA", at positions 395 to 1293 of the family's 1831-position model. Lineage: Eukaryota; Metazoa; Arthropoda; Insecta; Hemiptera; Aradidae. The record is from RNAcentral.
CCUGAGAAACGGCUACCACAUCCAAGGAAGGCAGCAGGCACGCAAAUUACCCACUCCCGGCACGGGGAGGUAGUGACAAAAAAUAACGAUACGGGACUCAUCCGAGGCCCCGUAAUCGGAAUGAGAACACUUUAAAUCCUUUAACGAGGAUCUAUUGGAGGGCAAGUCUGGUGCCAGCAGCCGCGGUAAUUCCAGCUCCAAUAGCGUAUAUUAAAGUUGUUGCGGUUAAAAAGCUCGUAGUUGGUUCUGCGUGCCAUGCUGUUGGUUCACCGCCUGUCGGUGUAACUGGCAUGUUAUGGCAUGUCCUGUCGGUGGUGAAUGAGGUCCCGCUGUUCGCACUGCACAACCGGUUAAUAACCGGAUGUAGGUUGUCGUUCAGCGGUGUACCUUGUUUGCCUACUUUAAUCCUAUCGCGGUGCUCUUUACCGAGUGUCGAGAUAGGCCGACAAUGUUUACUUUGAACAAAUUAGAGUGCUCNNNAAGCAGGCUUUUAAAUCUGCCUAAAUAGUGGUGCAUGGAAUAAUGGAACAGGACCUUGGUUCUAUUUUGUUGGUUUUCGGAAUCCAAGGUAAUGAUCAAUAAGGACAGGCGGGGGCAUUCGUAUUGCGACGUUAGACUUGGCAAAUGCUUUCGCGGUGAAAUUCUUGGAUCGUCGCAAGACGCACUAGAGCGAAAGCAUUUGCCAAGUAUGUCUUAAUUGAUCAAGAACGAAAGUUAGAGGUUCGAAGGCGAUCAGAUACCGCCCUAGUUCUAACCAUAAACGAUGCCAGCCAGCGAUCCGCCGAUGUUCCUCCGAUGACUCGGCGGGGAGCUUUCCCCGGGAAACCAAAGCUUUUGGGUUCCGGGGGAAGUAUGGUUGCAAAGCUGAAACUUAAAGGAAUUGACGGAAGGGCACCACCAGGAGUGGAGCCUGCGGCUUAAUUUGACUCAACACGGGAAACCUCACCAGGCCCGGACAUUGGAAGGAUUGACAGAUCGAUAGCUCUUUCUCGAUUCAGUGGGUAGUGGUGCAUGGCCGUUC